GAUUUUUUUUUCUCUGUGUGCAUUUUCCUAUGUUUUCUUUCAUUUUAUAAAUACAUGUAUAAAUAAUUUUUAAAAGAGAUAUAUAAUACAACAUUGCAUAUUGAAAGUAUCUUGGGGAAAACAGUCUUAAACUAUUUUAAUAACCCAAAGUCAUAGCUGUUAGCCUGUAUUAUUUUUAAAAUUUCAAACAAUCUUGUUUAGAGCAAGUAAAAUUACUGUCAUGCAACAAACUUGCAACUUUGAAAAUAUAACACUGGUUCACAAAUGAUUACAUACAUGGAGUUUGAUUUUGAAUUGAAAAGCUUUGUGUAUAAUCUAUAAGUAGAAACAAGUGAUUUUCUUUUAAUACUUGAGUAGGCCGAAUCGUCUGUAAGGUAGCUAUGGAUCUUUGGUUCUUUGCUUUCUUUCAAUAAGAGUACCAAAUCCUCUGAUGUGCACAUGUAGAGUUGAGUACUGAAUGGGUAGGCAUCAUCUGAUUGGCUGAAUUCAGGUAAGUAAUUAUCUUAGUCUAACACAGUUGGCCGCAGUAGGGUGUCAUCAGUUCAGAAGGUCACAGUACCCAAGACGCUGAGGUUGCAGGACUCAAAUUUCAUACAUGUACUCGGGUAAGCUUAAAGUCUUUAAAAAUUACUAAAUUGACUAAUUCCAAGGUAGGUAACAAUGUGAGUAUAGGAGUGAGAGUACCAAACCUUGGAUGUGCACAUGGCUUUAUUUGUGGCGCAUGUAGAGUCGAGUACUGAAUGGGUAGGCAUUAUCUGAUUGGCUAAAUUCAGGUAAGUAAUUAUCUUAAUUUUAAAGUAAAAAUAUUAAUGUUUGAAAUGAAUGAUGGAAUGGGGAAAUAUUAUAGAAAGUAUAGAAAAGCCAGGGGAAGUUUUAGGAGUGGGGAUUGAUUUUUGACAUAACAUGUUAUUUACUGCCGAUCUCUCAAAGUUGCAGAAAAGGGCCAUUUUGACCUAUAAACGCCAUGGGACCCUAUAUUUUUAGCUCACCUGAGCCGAAGGCUCAAGUGAGCUUUUCUGAUCAAAAUUUGUCCGUCGUCUGUUGUUGUCUUUGUCGUCGUCGUUGUCGUUGUCGUAAACUUUUCACAUUUUCAUCUUCUUCUCAAGAACCACUGGGCCGAUUUCAACCAAACUUGGCACAAAGUAUUUUUGGGUGAAGGGGAUUCAAGUUUGUUCAAAUGAAGGGCCACGCCCUUUUCUAAGGGGAGAUAAUCAUGAUUUUUAAAAAAAUUAAUGGCAUUUUAACAAAAUCUUCUUUUCAAGAACCACUGGGCCAGGAAAGAUGAAACUCGUGUGGAAUCAUCCUCGGGUAGAGUAGAUUCAAGUUUGUUCAAGUCAUGACCCCCGGGGGUAGGGCGGGGCUAAAAUGGCCGAUCAAAGUUUUACAUAGGAAUAUAUAGGAAAAAUCUUUUAAAAAUCUUCUUCUCAAGAACCACUGGGCCAGGAAGAAUGAAACUCAUGUGGAAUCAUCCUCAGGUAGAGUAGAUUCAAGUUUGUUCAAGUCAUGGCCCCGGGGGGUAGGGCGGGGCCAAAAUGGCCGUUCAAAGUUUGUAUAGGAAUAUAUAGGAAAAAUCUUUUACAAAUCUUCUCAAGAACCAUUGAAACAGGAAAGAUGAAACUCAUGUGGAAUCAUCCUCAGUAGAGUAGAUUCAAGUUUGUUCAAGUCAUGACCCCCGGGGGUAGGGUGGAGCCAAAAUGGACGAUCAAAGUUUUACAUAGGAAUAUAUAGGAAAAAUCUUUUAAAAAUCUUCUCAAGAACCAUUGAAACAGGAAAGAUGAAACUCGUGUGGAAUCAUCCUCAGGUAGAGUAGAUUCAAGUUUGUUCAAGUCAUGACCCCCGGGGGUGGGGCGGGGCUAAAAUGGCCGAUCAAAGUUUUACAUAGGAAUAUAUAGGAAAAAUCUUUUAAAAAUCUUCUUCUCAAGAACCACUGGGCCAGGAAAAAUGAAACUCAUGUGGAAUCAUCCUCAGGUAGUGUAGAUUCAAGUUUGUUCAAGUCAUGGCCCCCGGGGGUAGGGCGGGGCCAAAAUGGCUGUUCAAAGUUUUACAUAGGAAUAUAUAGGAAAAAUCUUUAGAAAUCUUCUUCUCAAGAAGCACUGGGCCAGGAAAGAUGAAACUCAUGUUGAAUCAUCCUCAGGUAGUGUAGAUUCAAGUUUGUUCAAGUCAUGACCCGCGGGGGUAGGGCGGAGCCAAAAUGGCCGAUCAAAGUUUUACAUAGGAAUAUAUAGGAAAAAUCUUUUCAAGAACCAUUAAAACAGGAAAGAUGAAACUCAUGUGAAAUUAUCCUCAGGUAGUGUAGAUUCAAGUUUGUUCAAGUCAUGACCCCGGGGUAAGGGUGUGGCAAAAAUAGCUGACGAAAGUUUUACAUAGAAAUAUAUAGGGAAACCCUUUUAAAUCUUCUUUUCAAGUACUUCAAAGCCAGGAUUAGUAAUAUUUGUAUGGAAUCAUCCUCGGGUAAUGUAGAUUCUAGUUCGUUCAAAUUAUGAUCCCCUUGGGGGUUAAAAUUCACCCCCCCCCCAAUUUAAAUUAACUUUCAGUUCUGAUCUGAUAUGUGUUUUUUCCUAGCUGAUGUGCUCAGGUGAGCGCUGUGGCCCCUGGGCCUCUUGUUUUCAGUAUAUUUUGUAAGUGCAAAGAAAAAUUUUUCCAAUGAUACCAAGGAUAUGUCUGAAAUUACAAUAGGUAAGUACUCAGAGGGCCUAAGAUUUGUAUUGAGUUCUGUAGGAAAUUAAUUGGUACUCUUUUCCCUAUCGAGUAAGCUAAGAAUAAUGCCAGAUAUAUUUGAGACCCUGAAGGAGAAAUUAGCCUCAUUAAGUGAAAAGGUUGGGGGUUGCUGGCUUUGGACAAGGGGGAGGGCUAGAAAUGGGUAUUGGAAGAUGAGGGUAAAUUGGCCGGAGGAGGGCAGUACAGUCGAGAGGAUGCAUCAGGUAGCUCUUAUGGAAGAGAAGAGACAGACUAGGUCGCAGUUUGCACUUGCAGGCCUGGAGGUCAGUUAUCUCUGCCAUGAGAAGUUAUGCAUCGACCCGAUGCACCUUACUCUGGAGCCGCAUGCAACUAACCAGGAGAGGAUCCACUGCAAGGACCAGGGGUUUUGUUGUGGGGCUCACCACCUUAAAUGCAUUUUUUAUAGUAAUUUAAAAUAUAUUUUUUGAAUAUCAACUUGUUUAUUUCCUGUUUUCGAAUAAUUGUGUUCAGGGGGAUUUCUCUUAUUGCCUCGGGCAUUCAGCUAACAUCAUGUUUUUCUUGUAUUUUACUUCUUCCUGAUGUUCUUCUUAAAGUUUAUAUAAUAUCUUACGUUUAAUUACCCUUUUUGUUUUAUACGAUUGAGUUUUCUGAUACGAUUUAUUUUAUUCAUGCUCAUUUUUUUAUUUUAUUCAGGGUCUGGUCCACUUGGCCACCAGUGGGGAUGGGGACACCAACCCCUGCACAGAGACUUUGGAGUGGGCUGCCCAGACCAUGAUUUGAUGAGUGAGCUGCACUGUGGGUCCGACCAGCAAAGUUUCUUGUGAAAGUAACAUUUCAAGGCAGGGAUCGUCGCAGAGUUCUGUUGAAGCUUUCAACCUUUUGCGAGUUGGUGUUUUUGAUCGUCCUGUCCAGUACAGCUGGAGACAACCUCUUAGAGAUGCAGGCAUGGAGCCUUGCCUCAUUUUCCGUGGAAGACGGUAUUGUAAAACCUUGACCUAAAUAAGAAAUCUUGCUAACCCAGUUAUUUAUUACUUUCCCUUUGCACACCAGAGAAUGUUUUCUGCAUGAUGCAUGGUCUCCCAUGUAACAUUUCACAAUUGCAAGUUUGGCAUAUGAGAGCUUGUUUUUUAAUUUAUCUGCAUCUCCAGCAUAUGUACUGCAUGAGCUUGAUUAAUCUCAGCUGUACAUCUGUCAACAGCAUCUAGGGCAAAAUUAUGCAAAAGUUUGGUGUUUUUCUGCUUUAAUUGGUUCUCUUUGGCAUAACCUCUGAAAGUUUCUGAUCUCUUUUAAUUGACUUUCUGAUUGACUUGGACAAGUGUCGAGUGUCAAUAUAGUGAACUGGGAUAUUUUGCAGCAGAUUGUCCUUAUAGAGGGAAUCUGCAGCUCAACCAACAGAGCUGUCCAUGUCAAUGAUUACCUUGAGUCCAUCUUUGCAGAGGAGUUCCGCCAUCCCCUCCCGAGUCCAAGUGAAGUCAUCCUGAAUGGUAUGGUGCAUGGGUAGAUUUGCCCCACACACCCCCCAGGACUACACUGAUGGUUUGAAGUGCCCUCAUCAAAGACUUUCUCGUAGGAGGGGGAGUGUUGGUAGAAGGAAAGAUUUUCCUCAUUCCAUCAUUGCCUAUAGGGGUUUGACUAAGGCCAACUUGAAGCACAUAGUUAACAGUGGCAGCUUUCCUACCUGGGGAUUUGGUCUCUACCUCCUCAUACAGAUUGUACCGCCUUGAUACAUAUAGACACUUGGUACAUUGAAGGCCCAUCCGGCUUCCCAGACCACGCCUCUCAUCAAAUGCCAGAUCUCACUCAAGCGUUCCAUCGCACCCCGUAUUCCCUUGCAGGUGGAGAGAGAUCACCUCAUUCCAGAUCUCGGCUGUUUUCUCAAGGUGUAGCAGUAAAUAGGAAUUUUGAUUAGCCAAUCUUAGUAAGGCCAAAUAAAAUUGAAAUCUUGGUUCUCAGGCCCGCCCGCAUCUGUUUUGAGGUAACCGCAUUGCUGAUUUUAUUGUUUUUUUGAUAAAAUAAAAAGUUGAUAUUGCGGAGACCAAUCCGGGAAAAUAAUUUCCGACCUCAUUUGUUUUGUAGUUUAGUAUUCAAAUAUCACUUCCGGUAGCAAUUUACAAUGAGAUUUUGGCUCCUUCGCUUGAAAAUACAUUCAAGGACAUUACCUACGAUAUUUACGUUGUUAAGCAAUGGAUAAAGCAGUAAUUUUGACCAGAAAUAGAAAGUAUAUCUGUAAUUUAAAAAAUUAUCUUUAUGUUUAAGAAAAUUCGGAAAUUAAAAAUUAAAAAAAUACCUCCCUCAUCUAAUUUUUUGCCAUUUAAAUGAAAAAUAAAAUGCCGCCCUCCCGCAUCUGUUUUGGAGAAAGUUGGCCUGAGAACCAAGGAAUUAAAUUUACAUAGCCUAAAUAUACCAUUUUUCAUUUGCUUGAGACAGAUGGAAGUUUUCAGUACAUGAGAGCACAUAUUAGAGUUACUUCCCUUAGACUGUCUGACAAGACAUAAGAAAUUUUAACAUCAUAUAAAUUUAAUUCUUUGAAAUGAAUGCUUCUGAUUUCUUUUCUUAUGUACCUAUAUGACUUUCAACUGCAUGUAUUACAUUUUACUUUGCAUGUAUUAAUUUACAUUUAUUUACUUGUAAUAGUAUGUAAUAUGUAUCCUACCCUAGUAUUGUCCAUUUUUUCCCAUAUUUAGUUAUAUGAAAGGUAAGUAAGACUUGAUUUGUUAGAAUUUUUAUGAACUAUUGCUCAAUUAUAAAUGUUUUAUACAAAAUUUGACUUACUGUUCUGAUUCAUUUGUAUUUAGGCACUUUGGAGGGCUUUCAACUUUCGGUCCCUUCGGCCUAAGGAGAUAGUGGCACAUGCGCCGCACGAGCAUUUCCUGCCCUUCCGCAGCUAUAGGAGUUUCUGAAACCAUCUGAUGCAUCUGCUGGGACAGUCUGUUGUACCGUGCAGAACUGUUUUUCAAGAAAAGUAAAAAAGGAAACGGCUGUUGAUGUUGAACAACUCCCUUGAACCAACUUUAUCUUUCCCACUUUUCUUCAAAGUGAAAUGAAUGAAUAUCAUUGAGUGAAAGAGUUAAACUUUUGAAAAGAUUUCUGAUUUUAAUUAAAUGGCAGAUGUUUUAAGUUCACCAUUCACUUUUGCCAUAUUUUAUGGUGCUAAUUAAACAUAGAAAUGACCCUGUCGUAAAAAGGAAUAGGCUUAUAAUGAUAACCAUUUUUGUUAGUCAUUCUAUUUUUCCAACAUACUAUUAUAUGUAAUUAGUUUUCUGGAUUUUAUACAUGUAUAUAGAUAAUAUGCUAAUUUAAUAAAGAUGAC
Molecule: long non-coding RNA, 5989 nt
Organism: Saccostrea echinata
Lineage: Eukaryota; Metazoa; Mollusca; Bivalvia; Ostreida; Ostreidae
Exons: 3
Source: RefSeq, a predicted model, not a curated record